This 271-nucleotide long non-coding RNA is filed under the name Elaeis guineensis (African oil palm). RNAcentral describes it as "long non-coding RNA (EGUI_LNC064299)". The record is from RNAcentral. Lineage: Eukaryota; Viridiplantae; Streptophyta; Magnoliopsida; Arecales; Arecaceae.
UAAGGUAAUGUAUAAUGGUUAUAAAAAAUUUUAAAAUAGAAGUCUGUUCGAUCUUUCUUGGUGAUCCGAUCUGAAUUGGAUUUUUUCCUUCAGAUAUUGGGUGACUGUCAUAGAGUCUCAAGGUAGAAGGUGAACUUACUAAAAUCUACUUUUUACUUUAGCCCAAAGACCAAAGGCCAGAUGAGAUAGAUGAUUAGAGAGCGGUUGGACAUAAUAGAGCAAAUGGGGACAUGCCACUACCUCAGGAUUCCUGUCACUAGAUGCAGCCCCG